This 332-nucleotide ribosomal RNA is filed under the name Kryptoperidinium foliaceum. Its description in RNAcentral is "partial Bacterial small subunit ribosomal RNA". It matches the Rfam family "Bacterial small subunit ribosomal RNA", at positions 754 to 1085 of the family's 1533-position model. Lineage: Eukaryota; Dinophyceae; Peridiniales; Kryptoperidiniaceae. The record is from RNAcentral.
CGAAAGCGUGGGGAGCGAACAGGAUUAGAUACCCUGGUAGUCCACGCUGUAAACGAUGUCAACUAGCCGUUGGGACUCUUGAAGUCUUAGUGGCGCAGCUAACGCACUAAGUUGACCGCCUGGGGAGUACGGCCGCAAGGUUAAAACUCAAAGAAAUUGACGGGGGCCCGCACAAGCGGUGGAGCAUGUGGUUUAAUUCGACGCAACGCGAAGAACCUUACCUGGCCUUGACAUGCAGAGAACUUUCCAGAGAUGGAUUGGUGCCUUCGGGAACUCUGACACAGGUGCUGCAUGGCCGUCGUCAGCUCGUGUCGUGAGAUGUUGGGUUAAGU